UUUAACUACCCUGACAUCAACUGGGAAACAAACUCUGCACCAAGUGGAAGAUCCAACAGGUUCCUAACAAACCUGGCCGCCCUGGCCACCCCGGAGCUAGAGGCAAAGCUGCCCUGCCGCUGUGUCCGACAUAGAGGCAUCCCGCCUCUAGAAUAUGGCCAUUGUUUACUUGGUUGCUGGAGGAACUAGAUUGUCAGUUUCCCUGAAAAGCCACUAGCCAGUGCCCAGCUGCCAUUCUCCCUUCGUGCAGUGGACGGACGUGCAACUAGUUGGUCAUGGCUCUCAGAAGGCUCUUCAGAGUAAGUGUGGCCAUCUCAGCUGUCAAGAAACUGGCAGCAGGGGAGAAAGUCAUGCUUCUCAACUCUUCUGACUGAUUGACAGCUAUUUCUCUUCUCUUCACAGAACAUCCGGAAAAGGUGUUCGCACCUUUUCUGUUGUCUGAAGAGCAACGUUGAAGACCUUCCUGUGCCUCCUGACAGGACGGCACAGGAACUGAAAGACCAGCGGGGAGAAUGGGAGACACAUCAUGUGUCUGAUGGCGGCACAUCUUCCUCUCCUGGGGUUGUGAUGGGUGGUCCUGCCACCACCCAGAGUCCCAGGAAGGAAGAUGUCAGGCCAGCUCUCAUUUCACUGAGAAAUGAGAGCUGUUUGAAGUGGACGCCGCAGCUACCUACAAUUUGGGAGACCUGCACUGAGUUGGACCCAUCGGAAGAAUUCCAUCCGAUGGGGACGGCUCUGAGCCCAGGGGAUGUGCAGGAGGGAAGCGGUGACUGCCUUUCAGGAUAGGUAUCAUUUCGGAGG
This is a long non-coding RNA of Thamnophis elegans (Western terrestrial garter snake), 801 nucleotides long. RefSeq lists it as uncharacterized. NCBI's taxonomy places the organism in Eukaryota, Metazoa, Chordata, Lepidosauria, Squamata, Natricidae. The transcript is spliced from 5 exons. The record is from RefSeq and is a predicted model, not a curated record.